Molecule: ribosomal RNA, 451 nt
Filed under: uncultured bacterium
Lineage: Bacteria
Description: partial 16S ribosomal RNA
Rfam family: Bacterial small subunit ribosomal RNA
Source: RNAcentral
GUGGGGAAUAUUGGACAAUGGGGGGAACCCUGAUCCAGCCAUGCCGCGUGUGUGAAGAAGGCCUUUUGGUUGUAAAGCACUUUAAGCGAGGAGGAGGCUACCGAGAUUAAUACUCUUGGAUAGUGGACGUUACUCGCAGAAUAAGCACCGGCUAACUCUGUGCCAGCAGCCGCGGUAAUACAGAGGGUGCAAGCGUUAAUCGGAUUUACUGGGCGUAAAGCGCGCGUAGGUGGCCAAUUAAGUCAAAUGUGAAAUCCCCGAGCUUAACUUGGGAAUUGCAUUCGAUACUGGGAAGCUAGAGUAUGGGAGAGGAUGGUAGAAUUCCAGGUGUAGCGGUGAAAUGCGUAGAGAUCUGGAGGAAUACCGAUGGCGAAGGCAGCCAUCUGGCCUAAUACUGACGCUGAGGUACGAAAGCAUGGGGAGCAAACAGGAUUAGAAACCCUUGUAGUCC